Molecule: long non-coding RNA, 547 nt
Filed under: Malus domestica (apple)
Lineage: Eukaryota; Viridiplantae; Streptophyta; Magnoliopsida; Rosales; Rosaceae
Description: long non-coding RNA (MDOM_LNC006803)
Source: RNAcentral
GUCUUUUCUUGGUUAGUUCCUUAUAUUUUUGAGCUAUUUACGUUAUUUUUGUGUUUAUAGGAUUUGUUAUGCAAAGAAAAUAAAAAUAGAACAAGUGAAAUUUUAUUCGUGAAAAGCAAAUUUAAAUUACAAUUUUGCUAACCCAUUGUGACGCUAAAUGGUAAACCAAUAUUUAAACUAUAUAUUUCAUCAUUUUAUAUUUGUUUUCUUGUCUAAUUUAUUUGGAAGCUUUAAGUAUUUAUGAUACUUUUGAUAUAUUGUGUUUGUAGGAGUAACAUGAUCCAAAGAACUUAUUUUUCUGCUAUGUGGGGCUGCUAGAAACUAAAUGAAAAUAAAAGGAGAGCAUCGGGAGGAGAAUAUAGAGGAAAGCAAGCUGCCUUUGCAGCUGGAGGAAAGCAGGUCAGCGACAAAGGGAUCCAAGGAAGUCAGAAGAAUUAGGGGACAGCAACUGGCAAAGCAGAGGAAAUGGAGGAGUCCACACGGGGGACGGAAAAAGAAUCCAAAGAAGGUGUGCGAGAAUAAAAGAAGUCAGACGAACGGGUGAGAA